GUCCCAGCCCUAAACGAUGUCCACCAGGUACCGGGGGGAUCGACCCCCUCGGCGCCGCAGCUAACGUGAUGAGUGGACCGCCUGGGGAGUACGGCCGCAAGGUUGAAACUCAAAGGAAUUUACGGGGGCCCGCACAAGCAGCUGAGCGUGUGGUUUAAUUCGAUGCAACGCGAAGAACCUUACCUGGGCUUGACAUGUGAUUGCACCGCGGGUAACGCCGCGUCCCCUUCGGGGGCGGUCACACAGGUGCUGCAUGGCUGUCGU
This 264-nucleotide ribosomal RNA is filed under the name uncultured bacterium. RNAcentral's name for it is "partial 16S ribosomal RNA". It matches the Rfam family "Bacterial small subunit ribosomal RNA", at positions 793 to 1055 of the family's 1533-position model. The record is from RNAcentral.